AAGUCGUAACAAGGUUUCCGUAGGUGAACCUGCGGAAGGAUCAUUAUUGAAUAAACUUGGCGUAGUUGUAGCUGGCUCUCCGGAGUAUGUGCUCGCUCGUCACCUUUAUCUUUCCACCUGUGCACACACUGUAGUCCUGGAUACCUCUCGUCGCAAGGCGGAUGCAGGGAUUGCCGGUCCUCUCACGAGGUCGGCUCUCUCUGAAUUUCCAGGGCUAUGAACUUAUACACCCCAAACGAAAGUCAUAGAAUGUAAUCAUAAGGCUUCGUGCCUAUAAACCUAUACAACUUUCAGCAACGGAUCUCUUGGCUCUC
Molecule: unclassified non-coding RNA, 314 nt
Filed under: Coprinopsis candidolanata
Lineage: Eukaryota; Fungi; Basidiomycota; Agaricomycetes; Agaricales; Psathyrellaceae
Description: partial internal transcribed spacer region
Rfam family: Eukaryotic small subunit ribosomal RNA (bases 1-46)
Source: RNAcentral